CCCUUAGAUGUCCUGGGCCGCACGCGUGCUACACUGACGCCUACAGCGAGUACUUCCCAGCCCCGAGAGGUGGCUGGUAAUCAGCAAUAGGCGUCGUGAUGGGGAUAGAUCUUUGGAAUUAUGGAUCUUGAACGAGGAAUGCCUAGUAAGCGCAGGUCAUUAGCCUGCGUUGAUUAAGUCCCUGCCCUUUGUACACACCGCCCGUCGCUCCUACCGAUUUCGAGUGGUCCGGUGAAUAAUUCGGACUGCAGCACUGCUUGGUCUCCAGGCUUUGCAGCGGAAAGUUUAGUGAACCUUAUCACUUAGAGGAAGGAGAAGUCGUAACA
This 326-nucleotide ribosomal RNA is filed under the name uncultured eukaryote. RNAcentral's name for it is "partial 18S ribosomal RNA". It matches the Rfam family "Eukaryotic small subunit ribosomal RNA", at positions 1470 to 1796 of the family's 1831-position model. The record is from RNAcentral.